CCUACGGGUGGCAGCAGUCGAGAAUCAUUCACAAUGGGGGAAACCCUGAUGGUGCGACGCCGCGUGGGGGAAUGAAGGUCUUCGGAUUGUAAACCCCUGUCAUGUGGGAGCAAAUUAAAAAGAUAGUACCACAAGAGGAAGAUACGGCUAACUCUGUGCCAGCAGCCGCGGUAAUACGGAGGUCUCAAGCGUUGUUCGGAAUCACUGGGCGUAAAGCGGGCGUAGACUGCUACGUAAGUCGUGUGUGAAAGGCGCGGGCUCAACCCGCGGACGGCACAUGAUACUGAGAGACUAGAGUAAAGGAGGGGGAACCGGAAUUCCUGGUGUAGCAGUGAAAUGCGUAGAUAUCGGGAGGAACACUAGUGGCGAAGGCGGGUUACUGGACAUUAACUGACGCUGAGGCACGAAGGCCAGGGGAGCGAAAGGGAUUAGAUACCCGAGUAGUC
RNAcentral lists this ribosomal RNA (446 nucleotides) under uncultured bacterium. Its description in RNAcentral is "partial 16S ribosomal RNA". It matches the Rfam family "Bacterial small subunit ribosomal RNA", at positions 338 to 795 of the family's 1533-position model. The record is from RNAcentral.